GGAGGUUGAAUGGAGGUAGUAGUUUAAAGAUUACUUUUGAUGAGAUGCAGGUUGAGCUUGCUUAUUAGCUAGAACUGCAACUAGAAGAUGAUAGGCUUUUGCUACCCUUGGUGAUGUUAUCAUAUAUAUACAAGAUCAAGAUUAUCAACAUCUUUGGAUCAAUUUACGAGAAGCUACUAUUGUCAUCAAGAUUUUGCACGACCUUUGAAGUAAACAACAGAAUAUUUUUGGAUAUUUAGAAGCCCCUAAAGUCUAUGUUCCAACGAAUUAAGAAUCAAGGCAAUCAGAGAUUCCUAAAUUAAAAUGAGCGUAACUCUCUCAUUUGAACUCUGCUUUAGAUGAAUGACCACUCGUUGGAAAGGUAAUUUUAUAAACUUUUCAAUAGAUCUUUAUUUCAGUAUAUGUUCUGUUCUGGAUGUAGGGGAAACUCUAUGAACAAGAGGCAGCAGCAAGACGAUGAGAACAAGGUAGUGGAGAUGAAGAUGACAACAAUGAAGAGGAGCUUGGGCAAUGCUUUCAUCAAGCGUACAUGAUCAAAUUCAGAAGUUUAGAACAAAAUAAAAACCUCCGGAGCAUUGGCACAUGAACACACAAGCAAGCUACAUUUAAUACAUGAAGAUAUUAGAAGCAAACCAUGAAGGAUUACAAAAG
This 651-nucleotide long non-coding RNA is filed under the name Setaria viridis. RNAcentral describes it as "long non-coding RNA (SVIR_LNC000717)". Lineage: Eukaryota; Viridiplantae; Streptophyta; Magnoliopsida; Poales; Poaceae. The record is from RNAcentral.